This 733-nucleotide long non-coding RNA is filed under the name Rattus norvegicus (Norway rat). RNAcentral describes it as "long non-coding RNA NONRATT017481". Lineage: Eukaryota; Metazoa; Chordata; Mammalia; Rodentia; Muridae. The record is from RNAcentral.
GCGACCUCAAACAAGUUCUCUCUCCUGCUGAUGGUGGUGGUCGCUCUGGCUGUUAGCCGAACAGGUGCUGAGCUCUAGAGACAGUGACCACAUGGUAACUGUUCUGAGUCUCCAGAGAUCAGCUGACUACAUAGCGCUUUCUAUUCAGUGAAGCAAGGAUCUUUGAAGACAUCAGUGCUUGCAGUUCAGUUCAGAGAGAACUUAUACAAAAAGAAGCCGAAGACAUCUAGGCAGAUCAGGUCACAGGAAUGGUGUUUGCCAACAGGAAACCCUCCAGCAUUCUGGUCACCACGGUGGACAUGAGUCUGAAAGGCCUGGCUCACCAGAAAGAAAUAUACGCAUAUGAGAAGCCUCUGAGAACUGUCUACUGCCACUACAAUGAGAAUACUCCUUGAGAUAAUGGAGGUAUAGAUCAUGGUGAACAGAUGACUAGGAGGGACUUCAGAGAAGCCAAGGGGCACAGACUCAGUGAAUUAGGUUUCCUAUGGAGACAUUUCUAUGGAGUUAUUCAACUUUCUGCUUUAUAGUACCUAGACAAAUUUUACUGUAUCUCUGAUUUUCAUUGCAAUCCUACAGCUGAUAUUGCUACAAGAUGAUGUAAAGAGAGUGAACAAACUAAUGUUGGCUUAAAUUAUCUUGCAUCCAUCCAUUUCUUCAUUCUUUUAUUAAUAUUUUUUCUUUUUUUUUCUUUUUUGCCUACCUCUAUACCAUGUUCAGGCCUAGUGCUUAUGUA